UACGUAGGGUGCGAGCGUUGUCCGGAUUUAUUGGGCGUAAAGGGCUCGUAGGCGGCGUGUCGCGUCGGGAGUGAAAGCCCGUUGCUUAACGGCGGGUUGGCUUUCGGUACGGGCAUGCUGGAGUGCGGCAGGGGAGACUGGAAUUCCUGGUGUAGCGGUGGAAUGCGCAGAUAUCAGGAGGAACACCGAUGGCGAAGGCAGGUCUCUGGGCAUUAACUGACGCUGGAGGAGCGAAAAGCAUGGGGAGCGAACAGG
This 255-nucleotide ribosomal RNA is filed under the name uncultured bacterium. RNAcentral's name for it is "partial 16S ribosomal RNA". It matches the Rfam family "Bacterial small subunit ribosomal RNA", at positions 524 to 776 of the family's 1533-position model. The record is from RNAcentral.